Molecule: ribosomal RNA, 85 nt
Filed under: uncultured fungus
Lineage: Eukaryota; Fungi
Description: partial 5.8S ribosomal RNA
Rfam family: 5.8S ribosomal RNA
About the family: 5.8S ribosomal RNA (5.8S rRNA) is a component of the large subunit of the eukaryotic ribosome. It is transcribed by RNA polymerase I as part of the 45S precursor that also contains 18S and 28S rRNA. Functionally, it is thought that 5.8S rRNA may be involved in ribosome translocation.
Source: RNAcentral
AUGCAGAAUUCAGUGAAUCAUCGAAUCUUUGAACGCAUCUUGCGCUCCUUGGUAUUCCGAGGAGCAUGCCUGUUUGAGUGUCAUU